This 468-nucleotide ribosomal RNA is filed under the name uncultured bacterium. RNAcentral describes it as "partial 16S ribosomal RNA". It matches the Rfam family "Bacterial small subunit ribosomal RNA", at positions 28 to 507 of the family's 1533-position model. The record is from RNAcentral.
GACGAACGCUGUCGGCGUGCUUAACACAUGCAAGUCGAACGGAAAGGCCCUGCUUUUGUGGGGUGCUCGAGUGGCGAACGGGUGAGUAACACGUGAGUAACCUGCCCUUGACUUUGGGAUAACUUCAGGAAACUGGGGCUAAUACCGGAUAGAAGCUCCUGCUGCAUGGUGGGGGUUGGAAAGUUUCGGCGGUUGGGGAUGGACUCGCGGCUUAUCAGCUUGUUGGUGGGGUAGUGGCUUACCAAGGCUUUGACGGGUAGCCGGCCUGAGAGGGUGACCGGCCACAUUGGGACUGAGAUACGGCCCAGACUCCUACGGGAGGCAGCAGUGGGGAAUAUUGCACAAUGGGCGGAAGCCUGAUGCAGCAACGCCGCGUGCGGGAUGACGGCCUUCGGGUUGUAAACCGCUUUCGCCUGUGACGAAGCGUGAGUGACGGUAAUGGGUAAAGAAGCACCGGCUAACUACGUG